GAUGAACGCUGGCGGCGUGCCCAAUACAUGCAAGUCGAGCGAACGGACGAGAAGCUUGCUUCUCUGAUGUUAGCGGCGGACGGGUGAGUAACACGUGGAUAACCUACCUAUAAGACUGGGAUAACUUCGGGAAACCGUAGCUAAUACCGGAUAAUAUUUUGAACCGCAUGGUUCAAAAGUGAAAGACGGUCUUGCUGUCACUUAUAGAUGGAUCCGCGCUGCAUUAGCUAGUUGGUAAGGUAACGGCUUACCAAGGCAACGAUGCAUAGCCGACCUGAGAGGGUGAUCGGCCACACUGUAUCUGAGACACGGUCCAGACUCCUACGGGAAGCCGCAGUAGGGAAUCUUCCGCAAUGGGCGAAAGCCUGACGGAGCAACGCCGCGUGAGUGAUGAAGGUCUUCGGAUCGUAAAACUCUGUUAUUAGGGAAGAACAUAUGUGUAAGUAACUGUGCACAUCUUGACGGUACCUAAUCAGAAAGCCACGGCUAACUACGUG
This 497-nucleotide ribosomal RNA is filed under the name uncultured bacterium. RNAcentral describes it as "partial 16S ribosomal RNA". It matches the Rfam family "Bacterial small subunit ribosomal RNA", at positions 28 to 507 of the family's 1533-position model. The record is from RNAcentral.